Podarcis muralis (Common wall lizard) is the source of this 231-nucleotide non-coding RNA. The record is from RefSeq and is a predicted model, not a curated record. NCBI's taxonomy places the organism in Eukaryota, Metazoa, Chordata, Lepidosauria, Squamata, Lacertidae.
UAUAAAUAUAUAUUUUUCUCUCCUUGCAGGCGUGUGAUGCCAAACGCAGCCAUGAAGAAGAAGGUUCUCCUGAUGGGCAAGAGCGGCUCUGGCAAAACCAGCAUGAGGUCCAUCAUCUUUGCCAACUACAUCGCCCGCGACACCCGCCGACUGGGCGCCACAAUCGACGUGGAGCACUCGCAUGUCCGCUUCCUGGGCAACCUGGUCCUCAACCUCUGGGACUCGCGGCGG